CCAUAUCAAUAAGCGGAGGAAAAGAAACCAACAGGGAUUACCUCAGUAACGGCGAGUGAAGCGGUAACAGCUCAAAUUUGAAAUCUGGGUCUUUUAGGCUCCGAGUUGUAAUUUGUAGAAGAUGCUUCGGGUGUGGCCCCGGUCUAAGUUCCUUGGAACAGGACGUCAUAGAGGGUGAGAAUCCCGUAUGUGACUGGGUGCCUUCGCUCAUGUGAAGCUCUUUCGACGAGUCGAGUUGUUUGGGAAUGCAGCUCAAAAUGGGUGGUAUAUUUCAUCUAAAGCUAAAUAUUGGCCAGAGACCGAUAGCGCACAAGUAGAGUGAUCGAAAGAUGAAAAGCACUUUGGAAAGAGAGUUAAACAGUACGUGAAAUUGUUGAAAGGGAAGCGCUUGCAAUCAGACUUGCACGCCGUCGAUCAUCCAGGGUUCUCUCUGGUGCACUCGGCGGCGUUCAGGCCAGCAUCGGUUUUGGGGGUGGGAUAAAGGCCUUGGGAAUGUAGCUCCUUUCGGGGAGUGUUAUAGCCCUCGGUGCAAUGCCGCCUCCCGGGACCGAGGACCGCGCUUCGGCUAGGAUGCUGGCGUAAUGGUUGUAAGCGACCCGUCUUGAAACACGGACCAAGGAGUCUAACAUUUAUGCGAGUAUUUGGGUGUUAAACCCAUAUGCGGAAUGAAAGUGAACGGAGGUAGGAACCCUUAAGGGUGCACUAUCGACCGAUCCUGAUGUCUUCGGAUGGAUUUGAGUAAGAGCAUAACUGUUGGGACCCGAAAGAUGGUGAACUAUGCGUGAAUAGGGUGAAGCCAGAGGAAACUCUGGUGGAGGCUCGCAGCGGUUCUGACGUGCAAAUCGAUCGUCAAAUUUGCGUAUAGGGGCGAAAGACUAAUCGAACCAUCUAGUAGCUGGUUCUGCCGAAG
RNAcentral lists this ribosomal RNA (910 nucleotides) under Gremmeniella abietina. Its description in RNAcentral is "LSU rRNA". It matches the Rfam family "Eukaryotic large subunit ribosomal RNA", at positions 38 to 966 of the family's 3401-position model. The record is from RNAcentral. Lineage: Eukaryota; Fungi; Ascomycota; Leotiomycetes; Helotiales; Godroniaceae.